RNAcentral lists this ribosomal RNA (429 nucleotides) under bacterium. RNAcentral describes it as "partial 16S ribosomal RNA". It matches the Rfam family "Bacterial small subunit ribosomal RNA", at positions 355 to 776 of the family's 1533-position model. The record is from RNAcentral.
UAGGGAAUCUUCGGCAAUGGGGGCAACCCUGACCGAGCAACGCCGCGUGAGUGAAGAAGGUUUUCGGAUCGUAAAGCUCUGUUGUAAGAGAAGAACGUGUGUGAGAGUGGAAAGUUCACACAGUGACGGUAACUUACCAGAAAGGGACGGCUAACUACGUGCCAGCAGCCGCGGUAAUACGUAGGUCCCGAGCGUUGUCCGGAUUUAUUGGGCGUAAAGCGAGCGCAGGCGGUUUAAUAAGUCUGAAGUUAAAGGCAGUGGCUUAACCAUUGUUCGCUUUGGAAACUGUUAAACUUGAGUGCAGAAGGGGAGAGUGGAAUUCAAUGUGUAGCGGUGAAGUGCGUAGAGAUAUGGAGGAACACCGGUGGCGAAAGCGGCUCUCUGGUCUGUAACUGACGCUGAGGCUCGAAAGCGUGGGGAGCAAACAGG